This 1509-nucleotide ribosomal RNA is filed under the name Helicobacter pylori. RNAcentral describes it as "bacterial SSU rRNA". It matches the Rfam family "Bacterial small subunit ribosomal RNA". The record is from RNAcentral. RNAcentral also lists the same sequence under 1 other name. Lineage: Bacteria; Pseudomonadati; Campylobacterota; Epsilonproteobacteria; Campylobacterales; Helicobacteraceae.
UUUUAUGGAGAGUUUGAUCCUGGCUCAGAGUGAACGCUGGCGGCGUGCCUAAUACAUGCAAGUCGAACGAUGAAGCUUCUAGCUUGCUAGAAGUGGAUUAGUGGCGCACGGGUGAGUAACGCAUAGGUCAUGUGCCUCUUAGUUUGGGAUAGCCAUUGGAAACGAUGAUUAAUACCAGAUACUCCCUACGGGGGAAAGAUUUAUCGCUAAGAGAUCAGCCUAUGUCCUAUCAGCUUGUUGGUAAGGUAAUGGCUUACCAAGGCUAUGACGGGUAUCCGGCCUGAGAGGGUGAACGGACACACUGGAACUGAGACACGGUCCAGACUCCUACGGGAGGCAGCAGUAGGGAAUAUUGCUCAAUGGGGGAAACCCUGAAGCAGCAACGCCGCGUGGAGGAUGAAGGUUUUAGGAUUGUAAACUCCUUUUGUUAGAGAAGAUAAUGACGGUAUCUAACGAAUAAGCACCGGCUAACUCCGUGCCAGCAGCCGCGGUAAUACGGAGGGUGCAAGCGUUACUCGGAAUCACUGGGCGUAAAGAGCGCGUAGGCGGGAUAGUCAGUCAGGUGUGAAAUCCUAUGGCUUAACCAUAGAACUGCAUUUGAAACUACUAUUCUAGAGUGUGGGAGAGGUAGGUGGAAUUCUUGGUGUAGGGGUAAAAUCCGUAGAGAUCAAGAGGAAUACUCAUUGCGAAGGCGACCUGCUGGAACAUUACUGACGCUGAUUGCGCGAAAGCGUGGGGAGCAAACAGGAUUAGAUACCCUGGUAGUCCACGCCCUAAACGAUGGAUGCUAGUUGUUGGAGGGCUUAGUCUCUCCAGUAAUGCAGCUAACGCAUUAAGCAUCCCGCCUGGGGAGUACGGUCGCAAGAUUAAAACUCAAAGGAAUAGACGGGGACCCGCACAAGCGGUGGAGCAUGUGGUUUAAUUCGAAGAUACACGAAGAACCUUACCUAGGCUUGACAUUGAGAGAAUCCGCUAGAAAUAGUGGAGUGUCUAGCUUGCUAGACCUUGAAAACAGGUGCUGCACGGCUGUCGUCAGCUCGUGUCGUGAGAUGUUGGGUUAAGUCCCGCAACGAGCGCAACCCCCUUUCUUAGUUGCUAACAGGUCAUGCUGAGAACUCUAAGGAUACUGCCUCCGUAAGGAGGAGGAAGGUGGGGACGACGUCAAGUCAUCAUGGCCCUUACGCCUAGGGCUACACACGUGCUACAAUGGGGUGCACAAAGAGAAGCAAUACUGCGAAGUGGAGCCAAUCUUCAAAACGCCUCUCAGUUCGGAUUGUAGGCUGCAACUCGCCUGCAUGAAGCUGGAAUCGCUAGUAAUCGCAAAUCAGCCAUGUUGCGGUGAAUACGUUCCCGGGUCUUGUACUCACCGCCCGUCACACCAUGGGAGUUGUGUUUGCCUUAAGUCAGGAUGCUAAACUAGCUACUGCCCACGGCACACACAGCGACUGGGGUGAAGUCGUAACAAGGUAACCGUAGGUGAACCUGCGGUUGGAUCACCUCCUUUCUAGA